This is a long non-coding RNA of Thalassophryne amazonica, 3244 nucleotides long. RefSeq lists it as uncharacterized. The record is from RefSeq and is a predicted model, not a curated record. Lineage: Eukaryota; Metazoa; Chordata; Actinopteri; Batrachoidiformes; Batrachoididae. The transcript is spliced from 2 exons.
UCUUUCUCUCGCUGCCAACAACUUGUUUGUUACAGCUUUUUUUCUUUUUUACACCUUUUGAACGAACUUUUGAAUGUGCUAGAUGGCAAGCAACAUUUUGUCAACAUUAAGUUUGAUUUUUGCAGAAAUGAUGGUAUCUCAUAAAACGUCGGUCGGUACAGAUUUAAAAUCAUCGUAGGCGUCAUUGCAGCGUCACAAUUGGGUGAACAGCUGUUAUAAAACAGACAAACAAAAAUAAUCAGCCUUUCUGAUUUGCAAAUCGUGUAAGGUUAAAUUGCUAUUUUGGUUAAAAUUCAAGAAAUCGUUCAGCCUAAAUGACAGUUAUCGUAAGAUCACAAACCCAGCAUUCGCUGACGUUUCGCUGUUGUGUUUUGUGGACUUUAUGAAAAUAUCAUUUAACUUGUGCGCAAAUCUGUAAUGAAACUCAGCGAGUGUGACCAAGUGAAUUGUGGUAUCGUAGCUUUAGCAUUAGCUUGAAGCUACGUUCAGCUGGUGGAAGAAGAAAAACAUGUUACCGUUUCUUCACAAGCUGUGACUUUUUGUUUUACACUCCACAGAAAAAUAUUAUUCCUGCCUUUAGCGCCAAUGCUAAUGGUUUACUGCGGCUGCGUGACAGAGUUCUGUACGAGCUCUUCUUGAAGUGGCCGCUCUGCUGUCCCCAUACGAGCACCCCAAGCUCCGUAAGCGUGAGCAGAAACUAUGUCCCCUUUUCCUUCCCGGCGUUUAAAGAUGGCGGUCUUGACUCUGAGCGUCUUUGUUAUUUACUUUCAACUUAGUUAUGGGUUAGGGUUAUGGACAUUUUACAGCUUAAAAAAACCUUUGUCAGUGUCCAAAUGUAGAUAGUCCGAUCUGUGUGUCACUAAGCUGUUAAACCCUGGUGUCAGUAGCACAGCAGUGCUCGGUGGCUACUGCUUGACGAGGCUUGUUUUCUCCAAAACUGCCAUGUCAGUUGCUGAGCAACAGUCCUGUCUCGUCCCAAAGGUACUAAAAGGCUUUGAUUGACAGCUGCUGUAAUUGAAUGGGAAGCUGCGUGCAGUCGCUCGAGACAACGCGGGAGCCGCUGUGUGUUGUCUGCGAGGCUGAAUGUGCGACUGUGUGAAGCUGUGGUUAUCUGUCAGUGGCUCACAUCCAGUUCGGGGAAGCUCCAGUGACGCAGACACGGGAUAUUUUCUAAUUACAGGCAUGUACGCAGAUGUGCACCUCCGAAACCACAGGCUAACGGCGUGUGCAUAGCUGAGUCCAGGACUCAUCCUGUCACCCACGCGCCACAGUCACCUUCUUACUCACCACCACCAUGUGCACAACAACGCCAGCUGCUCCUUCUGCUGCCCUCACGCCUCUCAUGGACUGCUGUGCACAAGUCGGACUGCAGUCCAACAACAUAUUGACCAGGUCCGGAACAGAACUCAAAACACAGCCGUGUGUUUAACCUUUUAUCGACGCUUUGUGUGCGCUCAUGCACUCUGACACAGGGUCGCAAGCCAAGAAAGUCUAAGGACCACGUUCAUGUUCCCCAAACUAUCCGGACUCACCCUGCCCAGCCUGCUUGGACCAUGUUCAUAUUACCUGAACCAGUAGGACUUGGCUUGUCCAAACUGUUAGGACUUGCCUUGGAUCAUGUUAAUGUUGCUGAAACAAUCAGGACUUACCCUGUCCAAACUAUUGCGACUCACUCUGGACCAAGUUCAUAUUACUAACCCUUUGGGACCCACCCAGUCCGAACUGUUGGGUCUUGCCCUGAACCACAUUAAUUUGGCCUAAACUGUUGUGAGUAGCCGUGUCCGUACCAUCAGAACUCAGGCUGUCUGACCUUUCCCUGUCUGACCUGUCUAGGUCUGCUCUGGACCACAUUAAUAUUGCCUAAACCUUCGGGAUUCGCCGUGUCCAAAGCCUGUCGGGAUACAUUUUCUUUAGUUUUGAAUUGAGGAACCCGCAGCCUGCGGUGGUGUGGCGGCUGCUGCUUGUCCGGUUGGACAAACUGUAAUGUCCCUCAGCCUGUUCUGUGUUAUUGACAUGAGACGUUUUGGUGGUUAAAUGUUUUUCUGCUCAGUGUUCUUUUGGUGCUCGUCUGAGCCGUCAGUUGUGCUCACAGUCAGAAUGCCCACACAGCUCCUGUCCACCACACACACCUCCGCCUGAUCGAUUCAUUGUCUUCCAAAUCAGGCCUGAAGUUUAUGCCCUGAUUCAUGAAAAUCAGAUAAAAUACAAAACAUCAACUUUAACCAAACCUAAAACAGAAAUCCACAAUAGAUGAAGUUUAAGCAGGAUUAAAUAAUGACAUGGCUCUUAAACGGUCUUAAAUAAUGAGACAAAGUUUAAGCAGGAUUAAUGAAACAAAGUUUAAACGGGAUUAAAUAAUGAGACGAAUCUUAAACAGGGUUAAAUAAUGAGAUGAAGUUUAAGAAGGACUGAGACAACGUUUAAAUGGGAUUAAAUAAUGAGAUUACUUAAAUGAGAUUAAAUAAUGAGACAGUUUAAAAUGGAUUAAAUAAUGAGAUGACUUAAAAUGGAUUAAAUAAUGAAUAAUAAUAAUGAAUAAAUGAAUUUAUGUGGGACUAAUGAGACACAUUUUAAAUGGGAUUAAAUAAUGAGACAAAUCUUAAGGACUCAAUAAUGAAGUUUAAGUGGGAUUAAAAAAUGAAAGUUUAAACAGGAUUCAUUAAAUAAUGAGACAAAUCUUACGGAUUCAAUAAUGAAGUUUAAGUGGGAUUAAAAAAUGAAAGUUUAAACAGGAUUAAUUAAUUAAUGAGACAAAUCUUAAACUGGAUUAAAUAAUGAGCCAGAGUUUAAAUGGGAUUAAAUAAUGAGAUGACGUUUAAGAAGGAUUAAAUAAUGAGACGACUCUUAAAUGGGAUUAAAUAAUAAUGACUUUUUGAAUGUGGAGCCUGAAACUGGAAGUGGGCGUGUCCAUGAAGGAUGUUUUUGUGUUGCAGCACUCCUCCGUUAUUCUCUCGAUGUACAGCGCCGUGUCGUCCGCGAACACUGAAUGUGCAGAUGACACUUUUUUGUUACCAUGGUUACAGUGUUACUUUUGGCCCCUCCCACGCACUUUCUCCAGCUCCUGUAUUUUCUGUACUUUUCCUGCUUUCUUGUCAAAUGAAACCAAAUGAAGAUAUUUAAUAAUAAUUUAUGUAAUAAAGGAUGUGAGAAAGAUUUGAUAUUUUAUGUGUUUGCGACACGUUGGAAGUGAAAACGUUUUGUAUCGGCUCGGUGUCAUAAUAAAGCUUUUUCAUGUGCAAAUAAC